Molecule: long non-coding RNA, 2340 nt
Filed under: Homo sapiens (human)
Lineage: Eukaryota; Metazoa; Chordata; Mammalia; Primates; Hominidae
Description: HSALNT0186981
Source: RNAcentral
UAGAUGGGACCCUCCUCUUCUGGUUAACACAUCAUCUGAAGAUAGCCAGAGAGCCAUCUCUAAGCUGUGCAAUGACAAGGAGUCAUCCUUCAUAGAAGACAUCUGCCCCCCAAACAGGUCGUCUAUACUUGAUGGUGACUUGUUAAGAAGUUCACCCUGUGCUUUAUUUCCAACUCAGGACACCUGGAAAAGAGUCAAGAAAACUUUUCUUUUGAGUUAUUUAAGGCUUGUAACAAUUGAACAAACUCCUGUGAACAAAAUUUGGAGCAUAUUUGUUUCUCUCUACCUGAUUUCUCCAGAAUUUGGAAAGUAGUUGUAAGUAUUCUUAAUUUAUGGCAAUAUAGUUACUUGCAUAAGUGCAAUACAAAUCUGUUUUCUUUUGCAAUACUAAGACACAAUUGAAGAAACCGGUUAUUUUACCGAGGCUUUGACUGGAAUGGUGUGCUUUCCUUUAAGGACUCAAACUUGACUUGUAAAGCCAAUAAAAGCCGCUUGAGGAACUAGCCUUAGACCUUGUCUAUGACAGUCCCUAUACAGAGUUUCUGACCUGUAGUAAGUAAAGAAUGUGACUUUCUAACAAGUCCAGGAACCCCAAGUUAUCUUGGGACCUCAAAAGGAAAGGAAUUUACCCAAUUCAUAGGUAUUAGAGAGUACAAACCCACAGCAGGGCUCAGCUCUAAAAAAGUCUUAUCUAAGAAUCCUUCUAUGGAACAGAGUUCCAUCAAAGCCAAUUUGAAAGAGCUUAUGUGAAAAAUAAUUAUUAUAAUUAUUCUUGCUGCACUUAUACAAAUAAACAGGCCAAGUAUAAUAAAGCAAAUCAGUCUUACCAUGAUUUGUCUUUAGUAAAAAUGGGAAACGGGAGAGAGAAAAAUUAUAUUUCAAGAACUAUGGUACAUCUGUUAUUAGAUUAUAGUCUCAUCAGUUGUUUUUAAGUUUGUUUCUGUAACUUAGGCUAACGCUGCUUAUUCCUGUGAACCAACCAGUAAUCUCUGACUGCUGCUCAGAAAAAAAACAAAAUGGAUGGGUAAUGUAAAAAUCUGGAUCAGUAUUCUAAUUCUGUGCAUAUAUUGGAAUUGGCUAGCAAACCCAUAUCAGCUUGGUUCCAACAGUUGCCCAGUUCAUGGAAAGCCUUCUUACUUGGUUUUCUUGAGAUAUUUUUACUUAUGUUGCUUUACUGUUGUGUAAUGUAUUGCUGUUGUAGUCUUUUUGUAGAAAUGCAGGACAAGCUUUCUGAAUGUUUUCUUAAACUAAACACUUAUUAAUCUUCCAGAUAUUGCCUCUUGUCGGAACUCAAGAGUCACGGAUAGCCCUCACCAUACUGAUGCUUUCUGACUGAGCUCCUCCCUACCCUGAACACAAGAGAUGCUAAUAGGCAGAAAUACCAUCACCCCUUUCAGCCUGAAGAAGUUACAGAAGAUGGAUAUUUAUCCCUCUGCAACCCUUAGGAUUAAAGGUUCUCUUAUAGAAGGGAGGGGGGAAAUGUCAGAGGUGUUUAAACCAGAGCAACUCCAUCUUGAAUAGGAGCUGGGUUAAAUGAGGCUGAGACCUAUUGGGCUGCAUACCCAGAUGGUUCAGGCAUUCUAAAUCACAGGAUGAGAUAGGAGGUCAGCAGAAGAUACAGGUCAUAAAGAUCUUGUUGAUAAAACAAGUUGUAAUAAAGAAGCCUUUACCAAGAUAGCCACAAGAGUGAACUCUGGUCAUCCUCACUGCUACAUUUCCACCAGUGCCGUGACAGUUUACAAAUGCCAUGGCAAUGUCAGGAAUUACCCUAUAUGGUCUAAAAAGGGGAGGCAUGAAUGAUCCACCUCUUGUUUAGCAUAUUAUCAAGAAAUAACCAUAAAAAUGGGCAAGCAACAGCCCACAGGGCUGCUCUGUCUAUGGGGUAGCCAUUCUUCUAUUCCUUUACUUUCUUUUUUUUUUUUUUGAGAUGGAGUCUCACUCUGUCACCUAGGCUAGAGUGCAAUGGUGCAAUCUUAGCUCACUGCAACCUCCGCCUCCUGGGUUUAAGUGAUUCUCCUGCCUCAGCCUCCCGAGUAGCUGGGAUUAUAGGUGCCCACCACCAUGCCUGGCUAAUUUUUGUAUUUUUAGGACAGACAGGGCUUUGCCAUGUUGCUCAGGCUGGUCUCGAACUCCCGACCUCAGGGGAUCCGCCCUCCUUGGCCUCCCAAAGUGCUAGGAUUACAGGCAUGAGCCACCACACCCGGUCUUAUUCAUUUAAUUUCUUAAUAAAUUUGCUUUCACUUUACUCUAUGGGCUCACCCUGAAUUCUUUCAUGCUUGAAGUCCAAGAACCCUCUCUUGGGGUCUGGAUUGGGACCCUUUUCCUGUAACAGCUUGACUU